CGGAAGGUGGGAGGAUAUGAGGCGGGGCUAUACAUGCAAGUCGAGCGGACAGAAGGGAGCUUGCUCCCGGAUGUUAGCGGCGGACGGGUGAGUAACACGUGGGUAACCUGCCUGUAAGACUGGGAUAACUCCGGGAAACCGGAGCUAAUACCGGAUAGUUCCUUGAACCGCAUGGUUCAAGGAUGAAAGACGGUUUCGGCUGUCACUUACAGAUGGACCCGCGGCGCAUUAGCUAGUUGGUGAGGUAACGGCUCACCAAGGCGACGAUGCGUAGCCGACCUGAGAGGGUGAUCGGCCACACUGGGACUGAGACACGGCCCAGACUCCUACGGGAGGCAGCAGUAGGGAAUCUUCCGCAAUGGACGAAAGUCUGACGGAGCAACGCCGCGUGAGUGAUGAAGGUUUUCGGAUCGUAAAGCUCUGUUGUUAGGGAAGAACAAGUGCAAGAGUAACUGCUUGCACCUUGACGGUACCUAACCAGAAAGCCACGGCUAACUACGUGCCAGCAGCCGCGGUAAUACGUAGGUGGCAAGCGUUGUCCGGAAUUAUUGGGCGUAAAGGGCUCGCAGGCGGUUUCUUAAGUCUGAUGUGAAAGCCCCCGGCUCAACCGGGGAGGGUCAUUGGAAACUGGGAAACUUGAGUGCAGAAGAGGAGAGUGGAAAUUCCACGUGUAGCGGUGAAAUGCGUAGAGAUGUGGGAGGGAACCACCAGUGGGCGAAAGCGACUCUCUGGGUCUGUAACUGACGCUGAGAGCGAAAGCGUGGGGGAGCGAACAGGAUUAGAUACCCCUGGUAGUCCAACGCCGUAGACGAUGAGUGCUAAGUGUUAGGGGUUUCCGCCCCCUUAGUUGCUGCAGGCUAACGGCAUUAGGCACUUCCCGGCUUGGGGGAGUACGGUUCGACAGGACUGGAUCUCAAAGGAUGGACCGAGGCGCACAAGCCGUUGAAUCCAUGUGAUAGUUCGAUGCAACGUCGA
RNAcentral lists this ribosomal RNA (975 nucleotides) under Bacillus sp. (in: firmicutes). Its description in RNAcentral is "bacterial SSU rRNA". It matches the Rfam family "Bacterial small subunit ribosomal RNA", at positions 1 to 964 of the family's 1533-position model. Lineage: Bacteria; Bacillati; Bacillota; Bacilli; Caryophanales; Bacillaceae. The record is from RNAcentral.